This 1372-nucleotide ribosomal RNA is filed under the name uncultured bacterium. Its description in RNAcentral is "bacterial SSU rRNA". It matches the Rfam family "Bacterial small subunit ribosomal RNA", at positions 28 to 1381 of the family's 1533-position model. The record is from RNAcentral.
GAUGAACGCUGGCGGCGUGCCUAAUACAUGCAAGUCGAGCGAACGGACGAGAAGCUUGCUUCUCUGAUGUUAGCGGCGGACGGGUGAGUAACACGUGGAUAACCUACCUAUAAGACUGGGAUAACUUCGGGAAACCGGAGCUAAUACCGGAUGAUAUUUUGAACCGCAUGGUUCAAAAGUGAAAGACGGUCUUGCUGUCACUUAUAGAUGGAUCCGCGCUGCAUUAGCUAGUUGGUAAGGUAACGGCUUACCAAGGCAACGAUGCAUAGCCGACCUGAGAGGGUGAUCGGCCACACUGGAACUGAGACACGGUCCAGACUCCUACGGGAGGCAGCAGUAGGGAAUCUUCCGCAAUGGGCGAAAGCCUGACGGAGCAACGCCGCGUGAGUGAUGAAGGUCUUCGGAUCGUAAAACUCUGUUAUUAGGGAAGAACAUAUGUGUAAGUAACUGUGCACAUCUUGACGGUACCUAAUCAGAAAGCCACGGCUAACUACGUGCCAGCAGCCGCGGUAAUACGUAGGUGGCAAGCGUUAUCCGGAAUUAUUGGGCGUAAAGCGCGCGUAGGCGGUUUUUUAAGUCUGAUGUGAAAGCCCACGGCUCAACCGUGGAGGGUCAUUGGAAACUGGAAAACUUGAGUGCAGAAGAGGAAAGUGGAAUUCCAUGUGUAGCGGUGAAAUGCGCAGAGAUAUGGAGGAACACCAGUGGCGAAGGCGACUUUCUGGUCUGUAACUGACGCUGAUGUGCGAAAGCGUGGGGAUCAAACAGGAUUAGAUACCCUGGUAGUCCACGCCGUAAACGAUGAGUGCUAAGUGUUAGGGGGUUUCCGCCCCUUAGUGCUGCAGCUAACGCAUUAAGCACUCCGCCUGGGGAGUACGACCGCAAGGUUGAAACUCAAAGGAAUUGACGGGGACCCGCACAAGCGGUGGAGCAUGUGGUUUAAUUCGAAGCAACGCGAAGAACCUUACCAAAUCUUGACAUCCUUUGACAACUCUAGAGAUAGAGCCUUCCCCUUCGGGGGACAAAGUGACAGGUGGUGCAUGGUUGUCGUCAGCUCGUGUCGUGAGAUGUUGGGUUAAGUCCCGCAACGAGCGCAACCCUUAAGCUUAGUUGCCAUCAUUAAGUUGGGCACUCUAAGUUGACUGCCGGUGACAAACCGGAGGAAGGUGGGGAUGACGUCAAAUCAUCAUGCCCCUUAUGAUUUGGGCUACACACGUGCUACAAUGGACAGUACAAAGGGCAGCGAAACCGCGAGGUCAAGCAAAUCCCAUAAAGUUGUUCUCAGUUCGGAUUGUAGUCUGCAACUCGACUACAUGAAGCUGGAAUCGCUAGUAAUCGUAGAUCAGCAUGCUACGGUGAAUACGUUCCCGGGUCU